RNAcentral lists this ribosomal RNA (253 nucleotides) under uncultured bacterium. Its description in RNAcentral is "partial 16S ribosomal RNA". It matches the Rfam family "Bacterial small subunit ribosomal RNA", at positions 524 to 776 of the family's 1533-position model. The record is from RNAcentral.
UACGUAGGGGGCAAGCGUUGUCCGGAAUUAUUGGGCGUAAAGGGCUCGUAGGCGGUUUGUCACGUCGGGAGUGAAAACACCGGGCUUAACUCGGUGCUUGCUUCCGAUACGGGCAGACUAGAGGCAUGCAGGGGAGAACGGAAUUCCUGGUGUAGCGGUGAAAUGCGCAGAUAUCAGGAGGAACACCGGUGGCGAAGGCGGUUCUCUGGGCAUGUCCUGACGCUGAGGAGCGAAAGUGUGGGGAGCGAACAGG